AUACGUAGGGUGCAAGCGUUAAUCGGAAUUACUGGGCGUAAAGCGUGCGCAGGCGGUUAUAUAAGACAGAUGUGAAAUCCCCGGGCUCAACCUGGGAACUGCAUUUGUGACUGUAUAGCUAGAGUACGGUAGAGGGGGAUGGAAUUCCGCGUGUAGCAGUGAAAUGCGUAGAUAUGCGGAGGAACACCGAUGGCGAAGGCAAUCCCCUGGACCUGUACUGACGCUCAUGCACGAAAGCGUGGGGAGCAAACGGGAUUAGAAACCCUAGUAGUCC
This 274-nucleotide ribosomal RNA is filed under the name uncultured bacterium. RNAcentral's name for it is "partial 16S ribosomal RNA". It matches the Rfam family "Bacterial small subunit ribosomal RNA", at positions 523 to 796 of the family's 1533-position model. The record is from RNAcentral.